AAAAAAAAGCUGGGUUUGUGGCUUAGUGGUUAAACGCUCCUGGGUUCAAACCUGGUACCAAAAAAAGAAAAGAAAAAGAAGUGAUAGUACCUAUCAAUACCUUUCUGUGGCACUGAAAUGACAAGAUUAAUUUUUGCUUGCUCCACCCCCAAAAUGUUCUGUAUUGAGUUUGUAUUACUUUUGAAUUAGAAAGUCUACAUAAAGCUCUGGUUUAAAUAGCAUUAAACCAGGGCUGUGGCUGUGGCUCAGUGGUAGAGCACUUGCCUAGCAUGUAUGAGGCACUGGGUUCAAUCCUCAGCACUACAUAAAAGUAAAAUAAAGAUACGGUAUCUACCUAAAGCUAAAAUAUAAGUAUUUAAAAAAAAUAAAUAGCAUUAAACCAAAAUAAGUGCCCACUGACUGAAUAGCCAUUGUGUGCCCAACCUUUCUGGGGAUAAGCUACAGAUAAAAAGAAAAUAUUCAGAGUCCUUGUUCAGAGGUUUCAUAGGAUGCGCAGGGGUGGAGAAUCAGCACCUGGCUGCUUUGCAGGCACCAGGCUUCGAGCUCAGGUGCUAGAUCUGAUCAUGACUUAGCAGUAACAGUUAUACCCAUGUAUUCAGCACUUCACUCUGUGAUACUUGGUUCAAUGGGUAGUCCCAUUUCUACCUGUAAAACUUGGCCUCACAAUCCACCGAGAUGGGCAUCAUUCCUGCAGUGUCGUCCGAGUUACUAAAGGAUGUAGAAAGCUCUGGAGUCAACUGCCUGAGACCUCGGACAAGCAACUUCACCUCCUCUUCAGCUGGGUUUCCUUCCAGCUGAAGCGAUUGCCAUGAGGGUUAGACAAGGAAACAGCGCGCGGGGCCCUGUUCUCAUGCUUUAUGUGUCGACUGUGUAAUUCUCUCAAGAGUCCUAGGAAAAAGUAGGUGCCAUGCUUACCCACAUUUACAGAAGCGGAGCGAGCUCGGAGAGGUGAGGAAGCAUCUGAGGUCGCCUGGCCAUCCACUUAGUGACUGAAAAUCAAACCGAGGUCUGCUUGACCCCAAAGCCGUGGAAACUGUCCUUCCCCUCUCAUGGGUUCAAUUUUUUGAACAAGCCCUAGAAUGGAUGACAGAAGAGAGGAGGAGGAAAGAAGAAACACCGACAGGCUGAUUGACAGUUCAGGUAAGGUAGGUGGGUCUGUAAGUUUCUGGAAAGCAGAAACUAUACAAAGAAAAAUGAACUCACCUGGCACCUGUCGCAGGUCUCAAUAGCUGCUCGGUAAUAUUUGUUGAGAAAUGAAGAAUGGAUGAAAGAGCAUCACGUAUACAAGUUACUGACAUUUCAGGCAGACCUGCUGUUGCCUUCCACCCACACGGGAAGGCCUCCAACGUUUGACUCCUCUUUUAAAUAGCAUAUACCAGUGUCUUCACUCUCGAUCUGUGAUUUCACUGCUGUAAGAAGUUUCCAUCAAUCCUCAGGCCUAAGCACUAAAGGAGAUAUUGAUGUUAAACCAGUGGCAAAAAUGGGUACCCAGUGUUAUGGGUAAGCAUCCACUAGAAAGAGGUCGUCUCAGCCACUUCCUGUUCUGUGAACUCACAGCUGAGUUCAUGGCAGUAGGUACCCAACCUCCCUUAAAAACAGUCCCAUCUAUGUGUAGAGCUCAUUUCCAGGUGUCCCCUGAGCUUUAUCUCUGACCCAGCAGCCACCCUGAGAGGAUGGAGCAAGGUGUUCUGGUCCCCUUUGAGAGAGAAACCCAGAGUCCGAGAGGCUGCCCGAGUUAAGGGAAGGACUUUGAAUUAGAGCGUCAGCAUCAUCCUAGAUAUGGUGGUGGCUCUGAGGGGUCCCAGAGGCCUGUCCAGGGCUACCCCUAAAGCUCUGAGGGAGUUUCAGCACCAUCCUCGCCCGUCACUGGGAGGGUGGAGGACGUGGCCCUCCCGUGAGGUUCGGUGGGCCUGGAAGUGGUGCCCGUGCAGAGCCGGGGCAGGAGUGGGCAGCCUCUGGCCUUUUGACAGUCUGUACUUUAGAUUUUUAUCACAGUUCUGCCAGUAACACCACCUACAUUCCUUCCUAGAGGUUCCUGGAACAUGAGGACUCUGUAGGGUCUAGGGUCACCCUGAUAUCAGCCCUUAAAAUAAGAUCAAGUCUCUGAAUACCCUGAAAGUGAGCAGUUGUUUUUAUCACGUAUUCAGUUAGAUGAGCGAAAACGCUAACCCAGUACUGGCGAGGGUGAGGGGAAUGGGCUUCUCUCCUCGUUGGAAAAAAUGGACGAGUUCGAACUUCUGCU
RNAcentral lists this transfer RNA (2242 nucleotides) under Marmota monax (woodchuck). The stretch from base 235 to 305 matches the Rfam family "tRNA". The record is from RNAcentral. Lineage: Eukaryota; Metazoa; Chordata; Mammalia; Rodentia; Sciuridae.